Long non-coding RNA from Leopardus geoffroyi (Geoffroy's cat), 623 nucleotides. RefSeq lists it as uncharacterized. NCBI's taxonomy places the organism in Eukaryota, Metazoa, Chordata, Mammalia, Carnivora, Felidae. The record is from RefSeq and is a predicted model, not a curated record. The transcript has 2 exons.
GAUGCUAGUGCCUGUCCAAGGGCUGUAACUGGAAAUCCCCUACAGGCCACUCCCAACCUACGCUGCCCUCAAGGACUGGAGCAGGAGGAACCGCAACACAGGAUCUUACGGCCCUCACACUCGCACAGUAGGGCGGCCACGCCAUCGGCAGCAGUGAAGGCACCUCCCCCGGGGACGGAACGGUCCGAUCAGACAUCUACAGGAAGUUUCUUUACUGUCUCCCUGCAGACACCAUACACCUCACAGGGAAACAGCCUCCCCCAGAUGGAGAGCCUGGAUCACCGACUGCUCCUUUCCUUUGUGGCUGGGAAUUAACUGGGCACCAAGGUACUUUGUUGUCACCAUUAAGUGCUGACACUUUGUCAUCUCUUUACAAAAAUGACCACUGCAGAAAGCACGGUGAGUAGCCGAGACUCAACAUGGGUAGCAGCAACCGCACACCCCCGGGGCACUCUGGGCGUCUGCUACUCAUAACUGAAUAAACGCAGCCUUUCUGGACCUUCAGAUUAGGUCCCAUCCAGACAAACAACUGUAAAACCUAAAACAACAAAGUUUAAUACAACUGUAAGAAUUUUCUCAAAUUUUUGAACUGAGAACAAUUUAUACAUUCAGCUAAUUGGAGG